RNAcentral lists this transfer RNA (72 nucleotides) under Bos taurus (domestic cattle). It matches the Rfam family "tRNA". Rfam says of the family: Transfer RNA (tRNA) molecules are approximately 80 nucleotides in length. Their secondary structure includes four short double-helical elements and three loops (D, anti-codon, and T loops). The record is from Rfam by way of RNAcentral. Lineage: Eukaryota; Metazoa; Chordata; Mammalia; Artiodactyla; Bovidae. RNAcentral also lists the same sequence under 3 other names.
UCCCGUGUAGCUCAGUUGGUAAAGAAUCUGCCUACAAUGCAGGAUAUCUGGGUUCGAUUCCUGGGUUGGGAA